UCCGCGUUAGUACAAUGGUUAGUAUUCCUGCCUGUCACGCAGGAGAUCGGAGUUCGAUUCUCCGACGCGGAG
RNAcentral lists this transfer RNA (72 nucleotides) under Bigelowiella natans CCMP2755. RNAcentral's name for it is "tRNA-Asp for anticodon GUC". It matches the Rfam family "tRNA". From Rfam's summary of the family: Transfer RNA (tRNA) molecules are approximately 80 nucleotides in length. Their secondary structure includes four short double-helical elements and three loops (D, anti-codon, and T loops). Lineage: Eukaryota; Cercozoa; Chlorarachniophyceae. The record is from RNAcentral.